This is a long non-coding RNA of Anopheles gambiae (African malaria mosquito), 719 nucleotides long. RefSeq lists it as uncharacterized. The transcript is spliced from 2 exons. NCBI's taxonomy places the organism in Eukaryota, Metazoa, Arthropoda, Insecta, Diptera, Culicidae. The record is from RefSeq and is a predicted model, not a curated record.
AAAACCAAAAUCGAACCAAUGAAAACUUACUAAUUUGAAUGCAAAGUACUUUACUAUUCUUCCAGCAAAGCAGAUAUCUCAUGUGAAUCGCCCGCAAGGAGGCUGCCGUGCAAAUAAGACGAUGGUGCACCAGCAUCUUUUGUACAUUUCGCAGAUGAGACGAUUGAGACACACUUAUGCAAAAGUAGGUGAACUCACAACGCAUAGCCCCCUUAUCACCAAUAGCCAGCGUAAGCAAAGAUAGCCACACCGGGAGCCGAAGGCAGGAACACCAUAUGCGUUAGAACCCACAACACCAAAAAGAGACAGUUUUGUGACACUCCACACAAAAACACCUCACACUAUACCGCACACAUUGUAAACCAAAACACAUAGAAACACACCGCGGAAAAUAGAACGGCCUACAGUAGCAAAACCCGAGUUUGGUCCAACACCAAGCAGAAGCUAAACAAUUGGCUUUAAGCAGAACAAAAACACAAACCACAACCAAAUGUACGGAAUUAAUAACUUUUUUUUGAGUAUAAAUAAAACCAUAUCCGAUCAAGGCAGACCAGAUUCGUUCGGGCUGUUAGGAUAGGAUGUUACGCUUGCUGUAAAACUCCUCUACGACUUUCAUUUCAUAAGCAUUCAGAAUGUACCCCUAAAACUAACCUCCCGCAAAACGGUCUUGGACGGCCCCGCUACGAUCGAUAACAUUACAGGGACAUAACUAACGACAA